GUGGUUGUGGCUCAGCGGUAGAGUGCUCACCUAGCAUAUGUGAGGCACUGGGUUCGAUCCUCAGUACCACA
This 71-nucleotide transfer RNA is filed under the name Ictidomys tridecemlineatus (thirteen-lined ground squirrel). RNAcentral's name for it is "Spermophilus tridecemlineatus (thirteen-lined ground squirrel) tRNA". It matches the Rfam family "tRNA". From Rfam's summary of the family: Transfer RNA (tRNA) molecules are approximately 80 nucleotides in length. Their secondary structure includes four short double-helical elements and three loops (D, anti-codon, and T loops). Lineage: Eukaryota; Metazoa; Chordata; Mammalia; Rodentia; Sciuridae. The record is from Rfam by way of RNAcentral.